CAGCAGCCGCGGGAAUACGGAGGGGGCAAGCGUUAUCCGGAAUUAUUGGGCGUAAAGGGUACGUAGGUGGCCUUUUAAGCGUAGGGUAUAAGGCAAUGGCUCAACCAUUGUUCGCCCUAUGAACUGGAAGGCUUGAGUGCAGGAGGGGAAAGCGGAAUUCCUAGUGUAGCGGUGGAAUGCAUAGAUAUUAGGAGGAACAUCAGCGGCGAAGGCGGCUUUCUGGACUGCAACUGACACUGAGGUACGAAAGCGUGGGGAGCAAACAGGAUUAGAUACCCGUGUAGUCCCUGUCUCUUAUACA
This 301-nucleotide ribosomal RNA is filed under the name uncultured bacterium. RNAcentral's name for it is "partial 16S ribosomal RNA". It matches the Rfam family "Bacterial small subunit ribosomal RNA", at positions 509 to 808 of the family's 1533-position model. The record is from RNAcentral.